Molecule: ribosomal RNA, 121 nt
Filed under: Prolemur simus (greater bamboo lemur)
Lineage: Eukaryota; Metazoa; Chordata; Mammalia; Primates; Lemuridae
Source: RNAcentral
GUCUACAGCCAUAACACCCUGAACACGCCCACGAUCUCGACUGAUCCUGGAAGCUAAGCAGGGUGGAGCCUGGUUAGUACUUGGAUGGGAUUCUGCCUGGGAAUACCAGGUGCUGUAGGCU